Molecule: ribosomal RNA, 482 nt
Filed under: soil fungal sp. DM066
Lineage: Eukaryota; Fungi
Description: eukaryotic LSU rRNA
Rfam family: Eukaryotic large subunit ribosomal RNA
Source: RNAcentral
UAUUUGUAGAGGAUGUUUCUGGCGACGCGCCUUCCGAGUUCCCUGGAACGGGACGCCAUAGAGGGUGAGAGCCCCGUACGGUUGGAUGCCUAGCCUCUGUGAAACUCCUUCGACGAGUCGAGUAGUUUGGGAAUGCUGCUCUAAAUGGGAGGUAUACGUCUUCUAAAGCUAAAUACCGGCCAGAGACCGAUAGCGCACAAGUAGAGUGAUCGAAAGAUGAAAAGCACUUUGAAAAGAGGGUUAAAAAGUACGUGAAAUUGUUGAAAGGGAAGCGUUCAUGACCAGACUUGGGCAGGUUGAUCAUCCGUGGUUCUCCGCGGUGCACUCUGCCUGCCCAGGCCAGCAUCANUUCGCCCCGGGGGAUAAAGGCUUUGGGAAUGUGGCUCCCUCGGGAGUGUUAUAGCCCACUGCGUAAUACCCUGGGGUGGACUGAGGUUCGCGCUCUGCAAGGAUGCUGGCGUAAUGGUCAUCAACGACCCGUC